CCUACGGGGGGCAGCAGUGGGGAAUAUUGCGCAAUGGGCGAAAGCCUGACGCAGCGACGCCGCGUGAGGGAUGAAGGUCUUCGGAUCGUAAACCUCUGUCAGCAGGGAAGAACGGUCACUGUGCUAAUCAGCAGUGAAUUGACGGUACCUGCAAAGGAAGCACCGGCUAACUCCGUGCCAGCAGCCGCGGUAAUACGGAGGGUGCGAGCGUUAAUCGGAAUUACUGGGCGUAAAGCGAUCGUAGGCGGUAGGUCAAGUCAAGGGUGAAAUCCCCGCGCUCAACGUGGGAACUGCCUUUGAAACUGGCAGACUGGAGUGUGGGAGAGGAUAGUGGAAUUCCAGGUGUAGGAGUGAAAUCCGUAGAUAUCAGGAGGAACAUCAGUGGCGAAGGCGACUAUCUGGCACAUAACUGACGCUGAGGAGCGAAAGCGUGGGUAGCAAACAGGAUUAGAUACCCGGGUAGUC
This 465-nucleotide ribosomal RNA is filed under the name uncultured bacterium. RNAcentral's name for it is "partial 16S ribosomal RNA". It matches the Rfam family "Bacterial small subunit ribosomal RNA", at positions 338 to 795 of the family's 1533-position model. The record is from RNAcentral.